Molecule: ribosomal RNA, 497 nt
Filed under: uncultured bacterium
Lineage: Bacteria
Description: partial 16S ribosomal RNA
Rfam family: Bacterial small subunit ribosomal RNA
Source: RNAcentral
GAUGAACGCUGGCGGCGUGCCUAAUACAUGCAAGUCGAGCGAACAGACGAGGAGCUUGCUCCUCUGACGUUAGCGGCGGACGGGUGAGUAACACGUGGAUAACCUACCUAUAAGACUGGGAUAACUUCGGGAAACCGGAGCUAAUACCGGAUAAUAUAUUGAACCGCAUGGUUCAAUAGUGAAAGACGGUUUUGCUGUCACUUAUAGAUGGAUCCGCGCCGCAUUAGCUAGUUGGUAAGGUAACGGCUUACCAAGGCGACGAUGCGUAGCCGACCUGAGAGGGUGAUCGGCCACACUGGAACUGGGACACGGUCCAGACUCCUACGGGAGGCAGCAGUAGGGAAUCUUCCGCAAUGGGCGAAAGCCUGACGGAGCAACGCCGCGUGAGUGAUGAAGGUCUUCGGAUCGUAAAACUCUGUUAUUGGGGAAGAACAAAUGUGUAAGUAACUAUGCACGUCUUGACGGUACCUAAUCAGAAAGCCACGGCUAACUACGUG